This 497-nucleotide ribosomal RNA is filed under the name uncultured bacterium. RNAcentral describes it as "partial 16S ribosomal RNA". It matches the Rfam family "Bacterial small subunit ribosomal RNA", at positions 28 to 507 of the family's 1533-position model. The record is from RNAcentral.
GAUGAACGCUGGCGGCGUGCCUAAUACAUGCAAGUCGAGCGAACAGAUAAGGAGCUUGCUCCUUUGACGUUAGCGGCGGACGGGUGAGUAACACGUGGGUAACCUACCUAUAAGACUGGGAUAACUUCGGGAAACCGGAGCUAAUACCGGAUAACAUUUAGAACCGCAUGGUUCUAAAGUGAAAGAUGGUUUUGCUGUCACUUAUAGAUGGACCCGCGCCGUAUUAGCUAGUUGGUAAGGUAACGGCUUACCAAGGCGACGAUACGUAGCCGACCUGAGAGGGUGAUCGGCCACACUGGAACUGAGACACGGUCCAGACUCCUACGGGAGGCAGCAGUAGGGAAUCUUCCGCAAUGGGCGAAAGCCUGACGGAGCAACGCCGCGUGAGUGAUGAAGGGUUUCGGCUCGUAAAACUCUGUUAUUAGGGAAGAACAAAUGUGUAAGUAACUGUGCACGUCUUGACGGUACCUAAUCAGAAAGCCACGGCUAACUACGUG